This 253-nucleotide ribosomal RNA is filed under the name uncultured bacterium. RNAcentral's name for it is "partial 16S ribosomal RNA". It matches the Rfam family "Bacterial small subunit ribosomal RNA", at positions 524 to 776 of the family's 1533-position model. The record is from RNAcentral.
UACGAAGGGGGCUAGCGUUGCUCGGAAUCACUGGGCGUAAAGGGUGCGUAGGCGGGUCUUUAAGUCAGGGGUGAAAUCCUGGAGCUCAACUCCAGAACUGCCUUUGAUACUGAAGAUCUUGAGUCCGGGAGAGGUGAGUGGAACUGCGAGUGUAGAGGUGAAAUUCGUAGAUAUUCGCAAGAACACCAGUGGCGAAGGCGGCUCACUGGCCCGGUACUGAUGCUGAGGCACGAAAGCGUGGGGAGCAAACAGG